This 214-nucleotide long non-coding RNA is filed under the name Lathyrus oleraceus (garden pea). RNAcentral describes it as "Pisum sativum (pea) long non-coding RNA (PSAT_LNC026543)". The record is from RNAcentral. Lineage: Eukaryota; Viridiplantae; Streptophyta; Magnoliopsida; Fabales; Fabaceae.
AAAAAUAUAAACAAAAAUUAAACUGUAAAGAUAAUGUCACAAAUAAGAAGUAUGUGUCAAAAAAUCAAAAGGAAAAAAUCAUUUGGAUGGUUAAAAAAUGUGAAAGAAGCAAAAAAAUAAGGGUGAAAACGAAAGGAAAAAGGGAAGAAAAAAUGGAAAAUGUGACAGCAAGGUAUUGAACCCAGGACAUGGGGGCGGGAGGCGUGAAGUAAAA